UGUCAAUAGUGACAGGGUCUGAG
This 23-nucleotide non-coding RNA is filed under the name Rattus norvegicus (Norway rat). The record is from RNAcentral. Lineage: Eukaryota; Metazoa; Chordata; Mammalia; Rodentia; Muridae.